Molecule: ribosomal RNA, 493 nt
Filed under: uncultured bacterium
Lineage: Bacteria
Description: partial 16S ribosomal RNA
Rfam family: Bacterial small subunit ribosomal RNA
Source: RNAcentral
AUUGAACGCUGGCGGCAUGCUUUACACAUGCAAGUCGAACGGUAACAGGUUAAGCUGACGAGUGGCGAACGGGUGAGUAAUGCAUCGGAACGUGCCCGAUCGUGGGGGAUAACACUUCGAAAGAAGUGCUAAUACCGCAUACGAUCUGAGGAUGAAAGCGGGGGACCGUAAGGCCUCGCGCGAUCGGAGCGGCCGAUGUCAGAUUAGGUAGUUGGUGGGGUAAAGGCUCACCAAGCCGACGAUCUGUAGCUGGUCUGAGAGGACGACCAGCCACACUGGGGCGGAGACACGGCCCAGACUCCAACGGGAGUCAGCAGUGGGGAAUUUUGGACAAUGGGCGCAAGCCUGAUCCAGCAAUGCCGCGUGCAGGAAGAAGGCCUUCGGGUUGUAAACUGCUUUUGUACGGAGCGAAAAGGCUCUCUCUAAUACAGGGGGCUCAUGACGGUACCGUAAGAAUAAGCACCGGCUAACUACGUGCCAGCAGCCGCCGUAA